AGUGAACGCUGGCGGUAGGCCUAACACAUGCAAGUCGAACGGCAGCACAGUAAGAGCUUGCUCUUACGGGUGGCGAGUGGCGGACGGGUGAGGAAUACAUCGGAAUCUACUUUUUCGUGGGGGAUAACGUAGGGAAACUUACGCUAAUACCGCAUACGACCUACGGGUGAAAGCAGGGGAUCUUCGGACCUUGCGCGAUUGCAUGAGCCGAUGUCGGAUUAGCUAGUUGGCGGGGUAAAGGCCCACCAAGGCGACGAUCCGUAGCUGGUCUGAUAGGAUGAUCAGCAACACUGGAACUGAGACACGGUCCAGACUCCUACGGGAGGCAGCAGUGGGGAAUAUUGGACAAUGGGCGCAAGCCUGAUCCAGCCAUACCGCGUGGGUGAAGAAGGCCUUCGGGUUGUAAAGCACUUUUGUUGGGAAAGAAAAGCAGCAGGUUAAUACCCCGCUGUUCUGACGGUACACAAAGAAUAAGCACCGGCUAACUUCGUG
This 492-nucleotide ribosomal RNA is filed under the name uncultured bacterium. Its description in RNAcentral is "partial 16S ribosomal RNA". It matches the Rfam family "Bacterial small subunit ribosomal RNA", at positions 29 to 507 of the family's 1533-position model. The record is from RNAcentral.